Molecule: long non-coding RNA, 1513 nt
Filed under: Heterocephalus glaber (naked mole-rat)
Lineage: Eukaryota; Metazoa; Chordata; Mammalia; Rodentia; Bathyergidae
Description: lncRNA (ENSHGLG00100044784.1)
Source: RNAcentral
UAUCUUCCUGCCUCAGCCUCCUAGAGUGCUGGUAUUACAGGCAUGUGUCACCAGGCCUGGCUCUUGUCAUAAAUUUCACAAAGGUUUCUUUCCGAUCUGAUAUUGGCAGUCUGCCAACUCCCAACCCACAGAGGCAAACCAAGUCAACUGAUGUGUAUACCCGAUUUAUUAGAGAUCUCUUCAACGUAAAAAGAGGGGGUGUGUGGGAAUGGGGCAGGUGGGGCCUGGACCACAUACGGUAUUCUGUGGGGCCAGUGGCAGCUGUACUGUCAGGGGCGCCCACAGGUCUGGGCUGGAAGGACACGGCCUGGCUACUGGUGCCACAGGAAGCCAUGCUCCGGAUUGUCACACACCAGACCACAGGGACUGAUGAUGAGGGACUCCCAGUGGGUUAAGACACGAAGUUUGCAGUUUUUUGUUCUGAAAUGGUUCAGCCACAUGGAGACUGGGCUGGCCUGGGCAAUGGAACUUGUAAUCACCGGAGAGGAGGAGGUGUGUGUGGAGGGGAUGCUCGUCCUGGGUGGGGGGCGACAGAGGGGCUGUGGCGACAGUACCCUGGCAACGGACCCCGCAGGGACAGGAGUAUUGCACUGAGCCAGGUGUGGAGGUGAAUGAGGACAGUUGGGAUGGCCUGAGGGGAGGGGGACAGGCUGGAAGGGGACACAUGGAAAUUUCCACCUUGCCAGUCUAAGAAAAUGCCUCUCCAUUUUUACAGUACAGGGAUUCGGACAUUGUCCAGGGUCUGCAAGAGCAGCCGUCUGGAGAGUGCUGACUUCCAGACUCCACCUUCUGCAGUGGGACCAUGUCCUUGGGGGCCUGGGCAAGUGUGGCCACGAGAGGGACACCCAGAGGAAACGCUCCUGGACCCGCCCUGUGGUGGCCGUCACGUGUGAUAGCAGCUUGAGCAUCAGAAGUGCCCGCCCCAGGACACCUGGUCUCCGAUCCUGCACCCCAAGGCCCAGCCUAGCCGCUCUGGAAGUCAGAGGCUCUGACUCUGGGAACCAUGAGAACCAUGCUGGGAAGAGGCAGACAAGUCCACAGCCCUGAGCUCUGGCGGGAGGGUCAGCAGCAUUGGGGCGGGAAUAUAACGACCUGGGCAUUCUUGCUCACGGGCACCUGGGUCUGGGGAUGUCCCACAACACUGAGCCACUGGGGGCCACUCCUGAGGAUGCCCGUCCUGCACUGAGGCCCCCACACCUGAGCCAAGCACGGGAGGAUCUGCUGCCGGGAGGGGCAGCCCCAGCACAGAGGACAGCGAGACAGCAGGAAGAGGCACCUGGGGGCCUGUCCUGGAGUGUGAGCCUCACCUGGGCAGCCAGGCCCGAGCAGCCCAGGUCCCAAGGAAUGGCCUCGUCCCUGUGGGACACAUGCAGUGGAGGCAAAGGACCAAAGUGCGGUGGUGUGGAGUGUCUUCCUUUUCCGGUUUGUCUCUUUUCCCCUAAAAAGCACCACUUGCCUCUGUCUGUGCAAAGAAUAAGGACCCAAAAUAAAUACAGGACAGGACGCUCCGGAA